AUCAGAAACACACAUAUUUAUGAACAAAAGCGCGUGAAAGAUUAAAAUUUGUGAAAACAACAUUUGAAAUAAAUUUUUGAUUUUCAAGCACAAAUUUUUCAAUCAAAUCGAAAUUGUAUUCUAUUUUAAAUCCCUUCUGCUUGACAAAGGAAGAAACCCAGAAUACAGAGAAGAGUGAAUGAUUAAAUGAAUAAAACGCUUCGCAAUUGGCUAUAUAAUAAAAAAGAUAAUAACUUUGCUUUUAAUGGGCACCUAAACCGAAGGAACAAAACUGUUAAGGCUGACAAGAGCAAUAUCACAAUACAACUGCAUUUUUUGCUUCUGAGCGAAUGAACUACAUGGAUUAAGGAGAAAGCUGCGGUUAACGUCAACAUCGACAUAGGCCUAAAAAAUAGAUCGUAUUCUACCAAAGGAAACGUGAGCCCGAGAGUAUGGAGCGUCUGUACUUUUGUACUGGCAGAGCAUUGAUCAUUUGUUACAAGAUGCGAUCUAGACCAGGUGUCCUCCUCUUUGAUUUGGAGAAACAACUUUCCAAUUCUAAGGAAGACAUACAAUUUUCCGGGAACUCUUCUGUCAAUAGCAUUUGAAAGUUUUUCUUUUUUUGUAUAGAGAAAACAAAACCGCACAUGGGAUCUGCGAAAACCACUUUAGCAGAAACACUGAAAACACCCCAGCCAAAUACACAAAAAGAUCGAAGCAAUCAAAAAGUCGCGGACGAAAAGAAAACGCGCACUACUCAGAGCACAGAUCGAAUACGAAUUGUCAGCAGUUCAUGGAUUGUCUGGUUUACUUCUGAGUGGACAGAUAUGAGCGAGCGUUUCUCGAAGCAAUUGUAGUUACAUAUAGCAAAAAUACUUGAAAAUGAAACUUAGCUAACGCCAUGCAUAAUCAGAGAGAAACGAGAGCUAACUUGCAGCUACGUGAUUACCCGCCUAGAAAGUAAAUAUGAAAGCGGACAACAAUCACUAAUAAAAUCUAAUU
This is a long non-coding RNA of Glossina fuscipes, 981 nucleotides long. RefSeq lists it as uncharacterized. NCBI's taxonomy places the organism in Eukaryota, Metazoa, Arthropoda, Insecta, Diptera, Glossinidae. The record is from RefSeq and is a predicted model, not a curated record. The transcript has 7 exons.